This 497-nucleotide ribosomal RNA is filed under the name uncultured Lactobacillus sp. RNAcentral describes it as "partial 16S ribosomal RNA". Lineage: Bacteria; Bacillati; Bacillota; Bacilli; Lactobacillales; Lactobacillaceae. The record is from RNAcentral.
CACGUAGUUAGCCGUGACUUUCUGGUUGGAUACCGUCACUGCGUGAACAGUUAUUCUCACGCACGUUCUUCUCCAACAACAGAGCUUUACGAGCCGAAACCCUUCUUCACUCACGCGGUGUUGCUCCAUCAGGCUUGCGCCCAUUGUGGAAGAUUCCCUACUGCUGCCUCCCGUAGGAGUAUGGACCGUGUCUCAGUUCCAUUGUGGCCGAUCAGUCUCUCAACUCGGCUAUGCAUCAUCGCCUUGGUAAGCCGUUACCUUACCAACUAGCUAAUGCACCGCAGGUCCAUCCCGGAGUGAUAGCCAAAGCCAUCUUUCAAACAAAGCCAUGUGGCUUUUGUUGUUAUGCGGUAUUAGCAUCUGUUUACCAAAUUGUUACUCCCCCGCGUCCGGGGCUAGGUUACCUACGUGUUACCUCACCCGUCCGCCACUCACUGGUGAUCCAAGUCAAUUCAAGUGCAAGCACCAUCAAUCAGUUCGGCCAGUCGCGUACGUAC